This 328-nucleotide unclassified non-coding RNA is filed under the name soil metagenome. RNAcentral describes it as "partial contains 5.8S ribosomal RNA, internal transcribed spacer 2, and large subunit ribosomal RNA". The stretch from base 1 to 120 matches the Rfam family "5.8S ribosomal RNA", at positions 35 to 154 of the family's 154-position model. The record is from RNAcentral.
GAUGAAGAACGCAGCGAAAUGCGAUAAGUAAUGUGAAUUGCAGAAUUCAGUGAAUCAUCGAGUUUUUGAACGCAUAUUGCGCCCCUUGGUAUUCCGAGGGGCAUGCCUGUUCGAGCGUCAUUAUAACCCCUCAAGCUCAGCUUGGUGUUGGGGCCUGCCGCACGGGCAGCCCUUAAAAUCAGUGGCGGUGCUAUCUGGCUCUAAGCGUAGUAAUUCUUCUCGCUAUAGAGUCCCGGUGGAUGCUUGCCAUUAACCCCCAAUUUUCUAUGGUUGACCUCGGAUCAGGUAGGGAUACCCGCUGAACUUAAGCAUAUCAAUAAGCGGAGGA